AGAACAAUAUGAAUAAUAUAUAAUUCGAACGCAUUUUAAGAUUAAGCAAAAGAACUUGUGAUCAGAGUGAUGGAUCCAGUUUGAUCGGGAGGAAAAAAUUGUAAUAUCGCUGUUUUGGAAGUUUUAGGGUUGAUUUGAUUAACUAUGGAAUAAGUGUAAUGGAGUGCUAUGUUGUGUGACGGAGUGCUAGAUUGAUCAUGAAAUAUGUGUGAUGGAGUGAUAUGUUGUGUGAUUAAGAUUAUGAGAUGAAAGAUAUAUCCUCUCACAACUUUAGUGAGAUGGUUAAUGCUAUGAGGAUAAAUCGAUCUAUGAUUCCGUUAAUAUUUAGAAUUUAAUUUGGAUGCGACCUAUGGGUUGUUUUUAAUCUUUGAAGUUGGGAGGAGUGAAUUGCACAUUUGAAUUAGAAAUUAGAGCAGUUGAAUCAUGUUUUAAUAGUUUUUAAUCUCAUCUGGUUGUUAAAUUUUGGAUGGAAGGAAGAUAUGAAAUAGUGUCACUCACGAUUCUCCGGUAUUUUUCUCGUUACAGGUUGUUGUGUGAUGAUGUUCCCUUUGACACUGAAGGGUUUCAUUUUCCUGUUCACAAUUUCAGCUGAGAAGUUUCUAUUAUUUUCUUCAUGCGCUGUAAGUCGUCUCCCUCUUUACUAAUUUUUUAUUCAAGUUCCGAUUUACGCUUCUUUCCAGAAAGGGUGGGUGGAUAUGCUCAACGCUACUUUCUCUCUGUAACUUCAUGACUAUUUCAGCUGAGUUUUCUGAUGGCUCAGACACAACCUAAGGAGAAUGAAAUAAGUUUUUAAAAUUUCUUGCAAGAAUUCUAUCAAACAAUAAAUAUACAGAAUAAUAAUUAUUGAGUCUGAAAAAUAAGUGAUAAUAAUAGCCUGAUGAACUAUAUACGACUGGACCCGAGUCAGCCGGCGUUCACACCCUUAAGAUUACACUUUCUGUGAUUUUAUUCUUUUCUCAGUCUCUAAUAUUUAGGGUGAUCAUGAAUGUCUGUAGAUUCAUGGAUCCAUUAAUAGUUCUUGUUUGCGACGUUAUGUCUUUAUAUGAUAGUUUUGAACAUUGUCCAACAUGCCUGUUGUUCUUGCUCUGAUUUUUUUCUUCAAUUAAUAUCAUGACUGUCGGUCCAAACAAUGGUUGUCAGAUCUCUUUGAACAUCAACGACUAAUCCAUAUACAAUCAUGUUGUUAGUCUUUAACAAAAUUUUGACAUUCCCAAUGAUGUUCUGCUUUUGUUGGACACCGAGAAAUUUAGGUAACAAUUUAAAGGGAAGUGAAUGUUAUUGCAUAUCGCUUGCAUAAAAUCCAUGCUCAUGUGGGGCAAUUCAUCCAAUGCAUAUUUAGUCAAUGAAUCCUCCAAAAUAUUGGAGAGAAAUUUUGCAUCCAAGGUGUUUUCAUUGCAAUUUGCCACUAUGCGAACUUAUUUUAAUCUUCAAAGUUCAGCUUACAAUCUCUCAUAAUAUAAUUUCUCUAUAUUUCCCUUAAGUCUACAUCCAUUGUGCUUUCAAUCCUACCAACUUUUAUAAUUCUCUCUCAUUUUCUAAAUCACCCUCAUAUAUAUUCAAUAACAUGGAUGAAACUUUUUGACAUUAAUCGGUUGGCAUUCAACUGCCCAACUUCGAUGACAAUGAUAAUGAGAUGAUUCCUGCCUCAAAAAAUUAGUUAAGUUUUGUAGUUUUUCUUGUUCUAUUUUAUUGUUUUUUUUAUUUAUUAUAUCACUUUUUCAUCCACAUUACUUUUUGACGAGGUAAUGGAGGAAAAGAGAAAUAAAAAAUAAAGAAUAGUAAAAUGUAAUUGUUGUUGUAGUAAACGCCUCUAACAAAGUAUAGAGUGAAUGCUUUUUCACUAUGUUUUCAUCUAUAUUUAGUUUAAUCCAAUCAAUAAACUUUAUUUUUAUCUUAUAGAAGCAAGUCAUUCUUUAUAAAAUUUAUGCAUGCCUCUUGAAAAAUUCUUUUUGAGGUUUACUUGCAAUAUCCGGGGGAUGAGUUGGGUGCAUUCUCCCAAGGCUUUGAAGAUUAUGAGAAUUUUAGAAAAUGGUUAUACAAAGAACGAAAGGAACAAAUUUUAUUUAUGCACACAAAAAUUAUGCCCACACAAAUCUCGAGGAGAUCCAAUGAUCUUGGAGACCAAAGGAAUAUCAAUGUGUGGAUUUAUUGGCAGAAGACUUGGGGGACCCAUACGCCCAACCAGAUGAACCAAAUUCAAAGUUAGCUGAUAUAAAGAUGAAUAUGUGACACGAGUUGAGUGGCUCACUCAGUUAUAAAGAUGAGUAUUGGGCCCAUACAUCGGACCAUAUGAACCAAACUCAAAGUCAGCUGUUAUAAAGACGAGUAUGUGACUAGAUUCGAGCGGCUCACCCAGUUACAAGAUAAAUGAUCUCCUAAAUCUAACAUUUUGAUGCAAUCAAUUCCGAAGAAGGGACCAAUCUCUCAUAUCUUAUGGCUACAUUGGCAACGUCCACCAGCUUUCUCCCAAGAUCCCUUCGUGUAAGGGCAAGCUACUUGUUGGAUUACUAUGAUUCACCCUGUGCCUGACAAUAUAUUUUCUUUUACCAACGGGAGUUCUUCGUUGAAGAAUCAAGAGCCGACAACCAUUAUGUCAAUUGAUGAGUCGAUCAGCUCUAUCAACUCCUAGCCAGUAGAAGACAGGUCAAAU
Molecule: long non-coding RNA, 2650 nt
Organism: Phalaenopsis equestris
Lineage: Eukaryota; Viridiplantae; Streptophyta; Magnoliopsida; Asparagales; Orchidaceae
Exons: 2
Source: RefSeq, a predicted model, not a curated record